This is a long non-coding RNA of Megalopta genalis, 7495 nucleotides long. RefSeq lists it as uncharacterized. The record is from RefSeq and is a predicted model, not a curated record. Lineage: Eukaryota; Metazoa; Arthropoda; Insecta; Hymenoptera; Halictidae.
CCCCAUCGGGCGGAGCCCUGGCAUUUCCUGAGUCAUCCUCGAAUGGUGAAGAUCGUAUCUUGCUCGCAAGCUUAAAGUGAUUCAUUUUGUUCCUCGAGUUUACCACGGGAUUUUUCUUCCGUCGUUCGACAAGAAACACGAGCCAGAUACAGUCUCACCGUUUGAGAUGGCAAUGGGACGGGCGGAGGGAGGUUGCUGUUUGCAGUGAUGCUGGGAGCAUACCGCAAGGGGGAACAGGAAUCCCACGUUCUAGUCUCUCUACGCCUUUCUCCAGUUUGGUUUGUAAUCUGUAUCGAAACCAAUGUAUUUCUCUUUGCAGUUUUACAUUUUGAAACAAUACGAAUAUUGGAACUAUUCGAAUUUAUUAUUACUCUCAAAGAACGUUUGAUCUCGGAUAUUUUUAUUUUUUUUUUCCAGAGUUACAACGCUUUUAUUCGAACAAAACCUAAAAUAUGAAUGUAUAAUUUCUAUAGAUAUAUAUAUAUAAAUUUAAACACAUUUGUACAACACAUACGUAUUUAAACGGAUAGAUCUAGUAGUAAAAACGGGUACUGAUUGUUAUUUCAAAGACCAUCAACAGAGACCGGGUUAGGUUUAAUAAAAAUUAUGCAAAGCGUUAACUGACAAAUUUGUACAAGGAUUGUGAUACAGCAGGAGAGGAAUAAAUGUUAACAAGAAAACUUUUUGACAACUUAUUUUGUGAAACUCUUAAUUCACCAUUAUUAAUACCAGCAAUCCUUUUCAGUAUGGCAUACACCUUACAAACUUGUAUCGCACGCAAGAGAUACCCGCACACAUGUCGUCCAGGCUGUUGCUCGUUAUCGACGACGUCAGUGGCCUGUCUAUGUAACCAUAAGAAUGAGAUCAGAUGAGAGGAGUGGUGGUGAGAGAGGAUUAUUAGUACGGGUUGAGGGAGGGGGAAAACUGUUUGUUUCUAGAAAUUUGCGCACCAAGUAUCGCAGACGAGUUGCACGGCGAAUCAAGUCAUACAAACACCUAGCGUUCACACACUUCCAUAUCUCGACCAAGCAUCAAGUAUUCUCCCAAACGUCAUCCGGCCGUGUGCUGCACAAUUUUGGGGCUCACUGCGACAAAAACUGCAGCAAAACUAGAGCCUCCUUUGGUGAGCUAUUCCCUUCUCUCCGUUACCACUUGUGCAAAUGUAUUUUCUCAGGUGCAGAAAGGUUUCCCCCUCGACGCAUUGCAUCGCUAAGUUAUACAAUGCACAAGUUAUUCUGCUUAUUGACAAUAGAACGCGAACUCGUCGGCUAAAUUGGCUAGCCCUGGAACACACCGCAUAUAGGUACCUCGGUUCAAUUAGGCUGUAAGGGCUUCGAGGUAUGGAGAGAGAGAGAGAGAGAGAGAGAGAGAAACGGUAAUUCGUUGCAUGUCUGUCGACUCGAGACGACCCAGAAACGCCAGAUAUGCCAGAUCUUUAUCGCAAGUAGCAACAAUACAUUUUCAAUAAGAGCAUGCGACUAUUACGAUGACGAAGGCUCGAAGUAUAUACGGUUUUUAUGCGCGCGGUAUUGGUACUGUAACAUUGUUUUUUUUUUUGGCUGGCAUCAUGCCACUAGAUAAUUAUUUUCACAGAUUCGACCAUGCUGAAUCGUUCCGCGAGUAAAGAGACAAGAAGAUGUGUGUGUAUAAAGUAUGUUUUAGAUCAGAGUAAGUUUCGCUAACGAGAACUAUGCGGAAGUCGCGCAAAAAGAAAAAGAGGUAUCAGUUUGUUUUACAGUUAUGUUAACUCACGAAGACACGAGCAACGUACUCGAAAUGUUUUUUCCGUCGAACGUGUUUGGGAAGGACGGGGGAGGGGGGGUAUUUUGAGAUCAUUUUCUUCAUCGCAGAAAACAAUUCGUCUGAACUGUGUUGGAGUUUCCCGCUAAUUUUAACAACGAAUAGGAAAGCAAACGGCAUUGUGGCAGUUAUCGACAAAGUAGUACCACCUAGACGAUGUUUUUAUCUUAAUGGAAUGAAAAUGGUGUGCAGCAUUCGUUUUACCAAGAAGAAGCUUUUAUACGUAUAAUCGGACAUCUUGGAAAGCAGGAGAGAGAAUUCGUAGUCACCCAUUUUUCAUUGAGUAUGAACUGUGUCGAAGGUUUGGUAUACGAAUGGUUCAAAACGCCUCCUAUAUAUUGGGACCACGCUAUCGUCUUGCAUUAUAAUAUAUUCAUAACAAUUUUAUGAAUUGCAUUCUAAGUAUACAUACAUCUAUUGGUUGGGUAGUUUCUGUUCAGAUGUCUUUUGUACUGCAGGAAUACGUGAAACAUUCGUACCCUGGAAGCACAACUCUAUAACUACCGGUAGAAGUGGUUUUUCUCUCACUGGAAUAUAUCGCUGUCAUGUUUUCAAAGGUACAUUAUGGUAUGUUGAAGUAGAAGAAGGGCAUGGGGGCGAAAAAUAUUGUAUUUCAGCUAGAAUGACUAAAGCACACUUGUGUGAGUCAAUUUGCAAUAAUAAGCUGCUUACAUUAGAAUCUUAACUGGAUGCCGAUACGGUAAUCGUGCCAAACAUAUGUACAUACAUACAUACAUAUAUAUAUGUGAGGAAUUCGUGAUAUUAAAAGUAAACAGUAUUCUCGAUCAUGUGAUCCGUAUGUAACAAGUUCGAUAAACGAAGGUAACAAUUUAAUGUGCUGAACAAUUCGUAUUAUAUAAAUAUAUUAGACUGUGUGAAGUGGGUCGGGGGUGUUUGAGGUGAGCUAUGCAAUUUUGUGAAAGCUGCAGGACCGAAGCUGGUACAUACAAGCAUCGCAGUGGAUAAUGUUAUUGAAACGGGAUUUCUCUCUUCGCAUGGAACACGCCAUUCGUUUUUCUGUGUAGUAGCAGCAGCAAGAUAUCAUUCCAUAAUUUCAGUAAUACUAAAUAACGAGCAGAACUGUGUUAUAAUUAACAAGCAUGGCACCUGCGUGAGACCCUCGCAUUUCUUUUCUCAUGACUGUGUUUAGAGGUAUUCAAGACGGUUUGGAGAUACUCGUCCAAGGAACAAGUGGGAGAAGAAAACGAGUGUGUGUUAUUAAAUUGCUUCUUUUUAAAUUUUUGUCGUUCUAGCGCUAUCUUCAUAAGGUAUUUUAGCUAAACCAGGUGAUGCAUUUUUAAUAUAUUUUCUUAGUAUGUACGGGUAGAUUAGACUUAUUUGUUAGAAAUCACUGUAUAAUUAUUUGUUCCAUGAUGAAACAUGUUUGGGACGGGGAGAGGGUGGAUAUAAACGAUUUUACCUUUUUUUCCACAGACACGUAUUAACAGGUGGACAUGCGUUUAAAGUUUUGUUAUAAAAUCAACCAAAGCAUGACACACAGAGCACGAUAGCGUUAAACUCUUGAAUAUGCAUAUGAUAAUGUAUUAUUUGAUCAUCGAGUUAGGAUAGUUUAUAUGCUUGAACAAGAAUCGUUGAGAGACACACAGAUCGUUGGAUCCCUUCUGGUCUUCCCCUCGGAAAGUAGAAGAAAAUAUCACGUUCGAACGAUACAUUUUCUAAAGAGCCAUUGGUCCUAGUGGAGGGCGCUUCUCAAAAAACGUGUAUGUACUCCUCGGAUGAACAUUACUUUUACCACGUUGUUAGGAAGAAGACUGUUGCAUUCGAUUAGCAGUACAAAAACUAUUUUCCUGUGGAUCACGAAUUUCAUCGUUCUUCGAAUACGAACAUGGCAAGUCGUUAACAAAAUAAUAGCUUGUACUUUUAAGUGCAAAGUGUAAUGCAUAGACGAAAAAUGAUCGAACGAACAUCUCCAGGCUUUCAUCAGGUAAUAGCCCCUAACUAUAAUUUUAAUUAGACAUUUACGAUACGGAAGAUACUUUUUACGUAACUAUUGCAGAUACAUUCCUCGGGCUAAAAAAAAAAAAAUUCUUUUUCUUGAGAAAUCAUUUACGCGCGAUAAACUGUUUCUUAUAAACAGGUUCGUUCUGAUUCAAAGGAAAUUCCUAUCGUUGCUUGUGAAUACGAACAUGAAUGCAAAACAGAUGAUCGAUGGAAAUUGUUUAUUCGUGAUCAAACUGCAUUGACUAUUAUGUGAACGAAUUGCGUACAAAAUUCAGUCGAAUAGCGUUACAAGUGCACGAAAGACCACAAAAUAACAUCACGACGUAUCCUUACUGUCUGCCACAAUGCUUGGUAUCUGAAAAAUGUUGUUGUUACGUAAAAACAAAAACACUAUCACGGAGAAUGUAGCAGCUCAAGCUUUAACAUAACAAAGCCUGUAUGAAAGUGUAUGAUGCUUUGUAUGAUAGUCUACCUAACAUUGAAUAAUCUAAAAGUAUUGCAUUAGGAAAGUUGGUACCACUGUUUAUAGAUUUUCACGAGUGAGUAAUUGUGUUUCGUGUCUACUUUCUCUGGACAAGUAAUAGCUCUUAUAUAGACCGUGUCUAGAAUCAUAUAUAUUGUCAUUAGCUAUGUAUGAUUUAUUUGUAAUGCUCUUUAAGUGUUGCAUUUUAUGCAUUGAUGGCUUUUCCUCAUAAAGGUAGUUAGAAUGUGCUGUAAAUGUUACUUCUACAGUGUUUUUUUCUUUCCUAUUAGUGGUUGACCAUUGUAUAAUUCAAAAUUAAUAUACACACGAUAUAUCAUCAGGUGAAGGGUGGCGCGAGCUGUGCAUUAACUUCUCGAAAGUUUCGAAUAUUACAGAAUAGUAUUCUACAGCAUAAAGGUAUCUUCUAAGUGUUACCGAAUUGGUACGAUGGAUUGUUCUCAGCCAGCAAUAAGAAUGAGUAAAAUGUUUGAGAGGAAACUGUGUAUGAAAUUUCCAAAGUUCGUUUAAAGGACAAUGGGUCAAGGAGUUGAUUGUUUUAUCGCAAAAUGUUUCGAAUUCAGCAGAAAUUCUGCCAUGGGCCUUUAUAGGUGUGAGUUACUUUGGUAUUUUUCGUGUUUGCGUCGCAGAAAAGCUAACCAAGUGUUUUAGAACCUGUUUACCGAGUAUCGAGUUCGUGCGGACGAAGAGGGCGGGCGGCUGAUUUACUAUGGCUGCAUCGAGUAAUACUUACCAAGUCCGAAACAGUGGUGUUCUUCCACCCUCCGGUGAUCUGUGCAUGGAGUUGUGGUCUUAUUGCCUUGUCCGUCAUUCUAUCGAUAGUUGGAUAUACCUUCUUGGAAAGGCUCUGGAAAAUGGAAUUGCGAUGAAACUUAUUUUCUGCUGUGGUCCGAUGGCGAAGCAUUCGCGGUGCAUUGUCCUGUGCGAAAAGGAGAGAGAGGGGCACCGACUUCAAGGCUGAAUUAUUAGUUUGCGUUCUUUGAUGGGAUUGCGAGUUACCAUUGCGUCUUGUUGAACCCGAAGGCGAUUCGAAGGGCCAUACCUUUUCUUUUCGAGUUUUCGACAGGCAUUGACACGGAUGUUUUGCGGUACGAUACAAUGCGAAGUCUUCGAUGCAGAGUUCCAGCAGAAACGCCUAUUUCCCUUAUAGAAAAAAUUUAAUUGCUUGCUAGCAUUCAAUUUUCGGUGCUGCUAGUUUUCAUUGAACUAUCUUGAAGACGAGAAAUAGAUUGAACAAGAAGUUAUGGAAAAUUAUUAUUACUACAAGGGGAAUAGCACUUUAAAUUUACAAAUUUGCAAAUAUUAUUCAAUAGCAGUAUACAUAAUAUUACAAUUUUGUAAGAUCGUUACGAACGCUCGCAAUGCGAUUACAGAGCGUAGUUAUGAAAGAGUACUUGUAGAACUUUCGUGCUUGGAUGCAAAAUUAUCAUUUUCUUUUCUUUUUUUUCUUUUGGAGAAUAUUAUGUUUGAAAGAUGUAAAAGUUGUGAAUGUGCAAAGGAGGGAAAUUUUCGAUAUGGAAUUUCGCGACUCGCGGAGGAAGAAAUAUCUGUCGGCGUAAGAUUUCGAGGAAUGAAGAUACAGUGACAGUCGUCGCGGGACUUCGUGGGAUGAAGAAGAUCUAACUGUCAUCGCGGGACUUCGUGGGAUGAAGAAGAUCUAACUGUCAUAGCGGGACUUCGUGGGAUGAAGAUACAAUAAUGGUCGUCGCGGGACUUCGUGGGAUGAAGAAGAUCCAACUAUCGUCGCGGGACUCGGAGGGUUCUGGAGAAGAAGAAGACAUCGAGGGACAUCGAAGGACAUCGAAGGACAUCGUGGGACGUCGCGGGACAUAGAGGACUGGAGAAGAAGAAACCACAUCGCGGGGCAUCACGGGACAACGCGGGGUAAAGAAGAAAAACCUGUCUUCGUGGGAUUUCGAGGGAUCAAGAAGAGGAAACUCGUCGCGGGACUUCGAGGGAUGGACGAAGAAUGAAUUAUUGCUGCGAGACUUUGAGGAAUAAAGGAGGACAAACUAUCACCGUGGGACUUCGAGGGAUGGACGAAGACUGGACUAUUGCUGCGAGACUUCGAGAAAUGAAGAAGAACAAACUAUCAUCGUGGAACUUCGAGGGAUGGGCGAAGAAUGUACUAUUACUGCGAGACUUCGAGAAAUUAAGGAUGGCAAACUAUCGCCGUGGGACUUCGUGGGAUAAAGAAGAAUAAAUUGUCGUCGUGGGACCUCGUGGGAUGAAGGAGAAUAAAUUGCCAUCGUGGGGCUUCAAGGAGCUUGAUAGAGGAGACAAGUUACUAUCGACGGACUUUGUGAAGAACAGCUGUUGCAAGAAUUUAUCAAGAGCAAAAGUACAAUCGUCGUUGGAUUUCGUGAAGAACGAAAGAAUCAUCGCGUAAUUCCGUGAAGAAUAGAAGAAAAACUGGUGUCGAUGUAUUUCGCGAAGAAGUUAUAGAUAUUUAUACCAAGAUGAAGAAGAACUUGAUUUUGUUCGAUGUAGAAAAGAAGUUCAAUUACUUCACAGAAAAAAUAUAUCGACGUGGGAAAUUUUUGAAUGGUAUAUUUUGUCAGUAGCGAAGGGAAGAACUUUUUGCAUAGAACAAAGUGGAGUGGAUAAAAAGAAGUUGUUGAUGGUGGACUUUGAUGGAAGCAAAAGUAGAAGAUCUGAGAGUUCCUAUAUUUAAUGGGAGAAAUAUCUAACUAUAUAGAUGCAAAACAUUUUGGAAUGGGGAAGAAAGAAUUAUCGACUUAAUAUUUGAGUGAUUCGGGAUAAAAUUAUUGACAGGAUGAAAACCUAAAAGAUGUAGAAGAAAUUAUCGAUGCAGGACUUUGUGGGAUGCUGAAACAGAAACGAUCGGUGUGAUUUUUAGUAAGAUAUAAAAAAUAGGUUAGAUAUAUAUAUAUUUAAGAUAUGUAUAUAUAGAUACAGGUAUAUUUAAGAAUUUUGUUCUCAAUGCUUACGACAUUGUUUUCAAUGUUUUAGACAUGACGAUAUUAGAAAACCGUUUCAGUAUUACAUUUAUUUUUAAUUUGUCUUGUACAUUAGAAUGAUUUUUAAAACUUGUUCAUAAAAAUUGUACAAAAUCUAUAACUGGUAAAAAUUGGAAAAUGACAAGUUACGGAUGACACGAUGGAUUAAAAAGCGACGGAAUUUCAUUUGAUUGUAACGAUUGGUUUUCAGAGACAGACAUAAAUAAGGACCAUUAACGACUAAAUUGAAAUGCAGUUAGAGAAUGUAGCAAAUUCACUGUGCGAAUAGCAA